Molecule: non-coding RNA, 3548 nt
Organism: Ciona intestinalis (vase tunicate)
Lineage: Eukaryota; Metazoa; Chordata; Ascidiacea; Phlebobranchia; Cionidae
Source: RefSeq, a predicted model, not a curated record
UGAGCGUGACCAAUAUUUUGUUGUUAAUUUUUGUGGCACCGUGAAACAAAUAAUUUUAAAGACUGUGUUGUACGUAAUAUAAUUCUACCGUUUUUGUAGGUAAAAGCAUAUUAAAUUUUGUAAAAGCAUAUUAAAUUUUAUUUACAAAAUGGUAUGUUCAAGUAAAGCUAUUCCAGCUCAGAUACAGUUAUCAGCUACAGAUAUACAGAAUAUUUAUAAUCUAGCAACAGAGAUGCUUCGGCCAUACCAUACUUCUCAUACCCCAUCAGACCUAACCAUGCCUCACUCAACCAUGUGCAAAAUUUAUUGGUGAAAUAAUGGAGAAGUUUAAUAAGGGUUCAAGUCUUCCAAAGUUGUACACUUUGUAUCCAAAAUAUUGUUUGAAUGCGUCUCAACUGCUUGGGAUUUCCUCAAUUUUAUGCUGCACAGUUGUUGAUAAAGCUGUUUGAUGCAGUUGUAGGUUACAAUAAAAAUAAGUCAGAGAUUGUAGUUGCAGGCGUAGAUGCAACAGAAACCGGUAUAGUUUGUAAGUAAAUGCUGUAGUUAAGUUGGUAUACUACGUUUUAGAGAUUAUUGAAUAUAUUGGAGGAUUUUCAUUGAGAAAAGCAAAAAAGAAAUUUCCAGAAUCCAGAGAGGUUAUUAGUUGUUAUCAAAGGAGGAGCCUGAAGGUAGUUUUGCACAUUUAAUGGAAAAGGAUGGAAAACACCUCCUAUUUCCAACUGAGCAAUUGAUGCAAAUGUUGAUAAAACAGUUUACAUCCACAAUAUAAAAACCAGUAAGUUUAUAAAGGAGAUGAAUUUCAAAAUAAUUUUAAGUAAGCUGAAACAGGAUCCUUUUUUUACAAAUUUUUGUGACAUGCUGUGCAGUGAGUCUGGGCAAAACAAGCUUAUCAUUGUUAAAGUUUUAUGUUUCAUUGCAGAAAUAUUUGUUAAGGUAUUAGGACACAACUUCGCAAAAUAUGCUUUUCGUAGUUAUAAAACCAAAAUCAUCAAAGUUUACACCUGGUUUAAUAGGCACUUUAAAAAAUAUAGGUAAAAGUUAGAAUUCAAAACUAGUUUUCUUUGAAAUUCCUACAAUUACAUUGACAUAAUUUACUCACUUCGUUGGUGAAAUGAGUGCUUUUAAAACUUGGUUUGUUUUGGCAUUGGUUCGUUACAAACACUUGUCCAAGGUUUUAUUUUUUCCGAAGGUUGUGUUCCCACCUUUUAUCUUUUUAAUAAUAUUACGCUGUGAUAUUGCUGUCACCCGUAUCCUAUUUGACUAAUGUCCGGAUUGGUAUUUCGUCGCAUGUAAGACCGCUGUGACGAAACAUAAAAAAGUUGUUAUUGGCAGUAAGACAUCUCAUAGAUAUAACUUGUAAAUAAAGUAGCAAAGGAGAAAAAGGAUUGAAGCGAAACAACAUUUAAAAACGUGUUUUCAAUUAACGUUUCGAGUGCAGAAUGGUGCGUUGGGUAAAGUUGCGUUAAUAUAGCCAGAUUAGCCUUUCAUCAUCGAUUAAGCGAAUUGGAUCCUUAGCAGUGCAAGAAACAAUAUUAAACCUGAGCGAAUUGGAUCUUUAGCAGUGCAAGUAACAGUAUUAAACCAUCUAAAGGGGACAAUUCAUAGUAAAUUUGUACUUAUUAUAGGUUAGUAUGUUAAAAUGUAUAAUAGCCUACUUGUCCAUUAGCAAAACAUACUUUGCGGUACCAUCGGCACCAACAACAUCUCGCUCCAAGGCAAUACCAACUCUCAAGCUCAAGGUUUGUUUUGCAAUUAGAACACUCAUCUGAAGUAUAAGAAAUUUAGGUUCAUGUGAAAGAGUGCCAAAUUUGUCUUGUGAAGUGGGGUUUUGGAAUCCAAACUAAACAAUUCUUGAAUGUGGGUCCACAGUAUCUUUGCCAUCCUUAUGCAUGUUGUAUUUGGUACCUCCUGGCUUAGAAGAGAGUACAGAGAAUUUCUUGCUGUCUGCAAAUCAAUCAAAUGAGUCUACAUGGAUUUGGGGCAGCAUACGACUUUACAAGAAUAUCCAAUUUUGAUCCAUUUAUGAGUUCAAAAAAUUUCCUAUUAGAUGAUGCUCCAUCUGCGAUAACGGCAUUUAUGUGGACAUUCCUCAUCUCACAGAUUGUUACUGCUUCCCAAAACAUUGAAGCCAGUUGGUAUGCAGGAGUAGUGGUAGUAGGCCACCAGGACAGAGGAAUGAAAAUCUCCUUUUUGAAAGUGUUGAGGAUUGCUACAUACUGCAUAUAUGUGUGGCUAAUGAAGAAUUACAGAUUCUAUCUCCAUAAUCAGUGAACCCGACAAGUUUACCACAGCGAUAAACAAGAUUUUCCUUCACUGUAGACGAAUUAUUAUUUAUUAAAUCAUGUAUUUAAAAAUAUUUUUGCAACAUUAAACAUUUCAUUUCAUCCACAGUAAAUUAGGCUUCAAUGAAAAUUUUAAGAUUGUUCAGUUGAUGAAAAGCAAGUUCAUUAAUUCCACAUGAGCUGGUGCCAAUGUUUCUUUACACAAACAAAAUCAGAUGAUGGCAAGAUGAGGACCACCUGUGCUGAUCAACUGACUAUAUGCAGCAGGGGAACGGGGAUACAGUUCUUUAGCCCAGCGGAUAAUGUCAGGAUGAUAUCGUCUGCCAUUUGUGCUCCUAGAUGCAUUCUCACAUUGAUUUGUAAAAAAUAUCUUCUGCCAGUUAUUCAUUUCGCCAGACUCAUUUUGAACCAUGUUCUAAAGAAAGGAGUACAAAGUGGAAGUGCGAAUAUCAAGAAGUGCAAGAUCCAUCACUCGCCAUCUGUGAAAUGCAACCCAGUUUACUGCUAAUGCUGGAUCAAUGCAGAUACUGAAAAUCGGUUUAUAUUAUAGUAUUUGUCUAUUAUUAAUCUGUUACAUUUUGAAAGUUAACUAAACAACAGUCUGAAACCUCAUCAUUGGCUGUAUAAAACUCUCCCCAUGUAAUUCUGCCCAAAACUUCCCUCCUCUUAAAGUGUAACUCCAACUGUCUAAAUAUACAAGAUUUAAAAAUUGUCUGAACUUGAUAUUUCUCAUCACACCCUGCAAUGAUGGUGAUAGUUGUUUCCAGGAUUUUAUUAGAUCAUCAAUAUUCCGAUGUCUUACUGUAACUGGGCAAUUCUUUACGUAAUGUUGGUGCCUUUCGAAUUUUCUUUAGAAUGUUUUUGUUUAAUUGGAUUAGCCAUUUUUAAAUAAAUUAACCACUGCUGAUUUCGGAUGAGACUUUUGGGGCUUCUUUACGUAACCAACCUUUUUGAUUUUUUAAAUUUUAUUACUUCAGAAUUCCUGAAGUGCUGUUCACAUAUUGCUGCCCUGAAUGUAAAGACAGUGCUUACUUAUUUUAGAUACACUUCUUAAACAAUGAACACUAACGAUUCCUAUGGAGCAUGUUGUCAUUUUUCAUUGGGUCUCGUAAUGUCAAAAUAAAUUUUUAAGUUGUUCGCCGUGUAAUCUUUCACACUCUGUUCUUCCAAAUUCUGGUCUUCUUAUAGUAAAUAAAGAAAAUUUGUUUUUACUGUGAGUUGUAUAACUGCAACCCUGAAUACAACAAUUGCUGCUCAUCUUUUAAA